This 541-nucleotide ribosomal RNA is filed under the name Aureobasidium proteae. RNAcentral's name for it is "partial 26S ribosomal RNA". The record is from RNAcentral. Lineage: Eukaryota; Fungi; Ascomycota; Dothideomycetes; Dothideales; Saccotheciaceae.
GCCAGCAUCCUAGCCGAAGCGCGGACCUCAGUCCCGGCUGGCCGUAUUACACCCUGGGCUAUAACACCUCCACCGAAGUGGAGGCCACAUUCCCAGAGCCUUUAUCCGGCCGCCGAAACUGAUGCUGGCCUGUCCAAACUGAGUAAACCGGUCAGAAGACCGGCCGAACAGUUUAAACAAGUCUGAUUGCAAGCGCUUCCCUUUCAACAAUUUCACGUGCUUUUUAACUCUCUUUCCAAAGUGCUUUUCAUCUUUCGAUCACUCUACUUGUGCGCUAUCGGUCUCUCGCCAAUAUUUAGCUUUAGAAGAAAUUUACCUCCCAUUUAGAGCUGCAUUCCCAAACAACUCGACUCGUCGAAGGAGAUUUACAUAGGGUGCCAUUUCCUGUCACAUACGGGAUUCUCACCCUCUAUGACGUCCUGUUCCAAGGAACUUAGACAGGCGGCUUCCCCAAAUCAUCCUCUACAAAUUACAAUGCGAACCCGAAGGCUAGCUUUCAAAUUUGAGCUGUUGCCGCUUCACUCGCCGUUACUAGGGCAAU